UCUCUGAUGAAAAUUGUUGUCUUGUGUUUGUACUACGCGUGUUUCUAGAUUAUUAAUACUCAGCAGCGGGUUUGCAUGUCGAACAUCAGCACAGCAGCGCCCUAUGUAAGUAAAAGAAAUUAUCAAUAGCUAAUUAUACCAUUGGCUGUAAAUUCUGAAGAUAAGCGAUAGUGCUUAUUACUUCUCAAACUCGAAGGUUACAAAUUGCAACUUCACCAUUUGAAAACCAGAAAUAGCAAAAAAGACUCUUGCAGAAAGAAUAUUAGCAAAUUUACCACUUUAAAUUUUGAAAAGUAAAGCAUUUACUUCCUUCGCUGAUGAACAGUGCAUAUUAAUUUGCAAGUAUCUUUUCUUUUUCUUUGAGGGGUCAUAUUACGUUUUUUUGUUUUUUAACUCUUUUGUUUUAAACCUUGAAAACUUCCACUAACCGUGCCUAACCACCAUUUGAAACUGCCUUUACAUAAUACUCACAAUUGUUUUUCGAAAAAUGCAAUUUGGCCUCAUGUGAUGUGGUAAAUGUGCAAAUUAUCUUUUUAUAAAAAAAAUUAGUAAUUUAUCCUCUUAAAUUAAGCAUUUUACCUCCUUAAACAGGGAGUAAAUUGCUUUAUUUUAAAAUAUACAGUAGGAUAAAUUAUUGUUUUUUUUUCUUGUUCCCGUAAGGAGUAAUUUGCUAGUUUGUAAUAUUAUAAGGGUAAAUUGCAUUAAACCCAUUGUUUUUACAUUCAAAUCCUGUGAAAGUGUUGCCCUCCAUCUACUACUAGCUGAGAAGAGUGGCGGUCCCAUAACCAUUUAGUUAACUACAAUGCUGAGAGCUGCACGGAUUCUUGCUUCAUCUUCUUCUUUCCGCACUGUUUACCUUUACCGUAGACGCAGAGUGGAUGAUCGCCAUGCAAAGUUUUCUUUAAUUUCAAGAGGACCGUCAGAAUCUUCAGAAGUACAUGGUUUUUCUUCUCGAGUUUGCUGCGGCUUUUGCGCUUCUCAAAUGGCGCAACGCUCAUUCUGAUUCUGCUUUAGCCCCAGCAGAAAAUUCUUCUUCUUUAUCAACAACUCCACUGCAUUUCAGUCAACUUUACUACAAGAAAUGGAUUCGCUUAACAGAUUUUCCUCUUUGUAUCCCCUUGGUCGUUGACAACUUGACAGGCCUGGGUCGGGUUCUGAUCUCCAUGUCCACAUUCUCGAUUGUCCCCAGAAAGCUUGAGACUGAUUCUGCCACCAUCUCUUGUGGCAAGAGCACUAUUUGGCUGCAGAGCCAGUUAACCAAAGGUGGAACAUUCGAGAGGCUGUUUAUGAUUUCUUAUCUUGAUGAAGAGAUCCUGAUAAUAAGAGAUACUGCUGGAGUACCUGAAGUUCUUAGAAGACUAGAUCCAGGACCAUCGCAGACGGUGUAACCAUGAACCAAGUAAGAAAGUUGAAGGCCUCUUUGAAGAAAUGCAAGUAAGCUCUUCUAGAGUGAGAUCACAACAAAAGCCGUCCAUGUUCUCUCUUAGAGCUGCCGCAACAUUGCAAAUAGACCGACAAACAAUGGUCGUUCGGUCAUCCAAAGAGUGGGUAAAUAUAACUUUCUUGUUUGGUGGAUACAUGUUGAGAGCAGCAAAGGAGAAGUUGUUGAUGCAGAUGACAACUAGUAAGGGUUGUCAUCAGAGUUGGUAUUGAAAUCUUCUCUUUUCACAUCUAGUUCACAUUUCUUUCUUGCAAUUAAGUACAAAAAAAAUCAGACAUUAUCGUUUCCGGGCAGCCAUUUCUUUUUCUUGUAGUAAAAUGUGAAGUAUGAAUCUGCCACUUGAAGGAAACGUGCUUUACUUGUUUUGACUUGAGAGCUGUUGGUAUAUAUUAUAG
Molecule: non-coding RNA, 1836 nt
Organism: Sesamum indicum (sesame)
Lineage: Eukaryota; Viridiplantae; Streptophyta; Magnoliopsida; Lamiales; Pedaliaceae
Source: RefSeq, a predicted model, not a curated record